RNAcentral lists this ribosomal RNA (277 nucleotides) under uncultured bacterium. RNAcentral describes it as "partial 16S ribosomal RNA". It matches the Rfam family "Bacterial small subunit ribosomal RNA", at positions 28 to 313 of the family's 1533-position model. The record is from RNAcentral.
GAUAAACGCUGGCGGCGUGCCUAACACAUGCAAGUCGAACGCCCUGAGAGCAAUUUCAGGGAGUGGCGGACGGGUGAGUAACACGUGGGUACCUACCCCAAGGUGAGGAAUACCGGCGAGAAAUCGCCGACAAGACCGCAUAGGUUUGGGUAACCAAACAAAGCUCGGGUUUACUCGGGCGCCAUGGGAAGGGCCUGCGGCCGAUUAGCUAGUUGGUAAGGUAAAAGCCUACCAAGGCGACGAUCGGUAGCUGGUCUGAGAGGACGAUCAGCCACAC